This 229-nucleotide ribosomal RNA is filed under the name uncultured bacterium. RNAcentral's name for it is "partial 16S ribosomal RNA". It matches the Rfam family "Bacterial small subunit ribosomal RNA", at positions 568 to 796 of the family's 1533-position model. The record is from RNAcentral.
CACGUAGGCGGCUUGGUAAGUCAGAUGUGAAAGCCCGGGGCUUAACCCCGGAAGUGCAUUUGAUACUGUCAGGCUUGAGUAUGGGAGAGGGAAGUGGAAUUCCUGGUGUAGAGGUGAAAUUCGUAGAUAUCAGGAGGAACACCGGUGGCGAAGGCGACUUCCUGGACCAAUACUGACGCUGAGGUGCGAAGGCGUGGGUAGCAAACAGGAUUAGAUACCCUGGUAGUCC